RNAcentral lists this ribosomal RNA (194 nucleotides) under uncultured bacterium. RNAcentral's name for it is "partial 16S ribosomal RNA". It matches the Rfam family "Bacterial small subunit ribosomal RNA", at positions 338 to 524 of the family's 1533-position model. The record is from RNAcentral.
CCUACGGGAGGCAGCAGUGAGGGAUAUUGGACAAUGGGCGCAAGCCUGAUCCAGCAAUGCCGCGUGGAUGAAGACGGCCUGCGGGUUGUAAAGCCCUUUAGGCGGGGAAGAACGGCCGGGCGCAAACAGCGCGCGGCUCUGACGUUACCCGCAGAAUAAGCACCGGCUAACUCCGUGCCAGCAGCCGCGGUAAU